Molecule: long non-coding RNA, 892 nt
Filed under: Androctonus crassicauda
Lineage: Eukaryota; Metazoa; Arthropoda; Arachnida; Scorpiones; Buthidae
Source: RNAcentral
AAAUUCGUUGAAAAUGGAAUUUACAAUAUAACAUCGGUGAAAGUCACAAUUACGGAUGAUGAUGUCGAUGAAUUAAUGGAUAGGGAUGAAAAUUACAAGAUCUUCUAUAAUUACGAUUCCGACGACGAAGGAGAAAUUGAGAAUUUCAAGAAAGUUGGACUUAGCAGAAUAUUCAGUGAAAUCGAAUCACCUGUGCAAUCAUUAAAACUCUGCAUGUACUCAGGUACAUAUCGACAUGAAUAUUUUGAUGGUUAUGAUGGAAGUGGUAUAUAUGAAUACAUCACAAUAGAAGUAAGAGGAUGUCGUUGGCCUAAUGGUAAGUAGUUUAUGAUUAAAACAUAACUUGCCAAUAACAGAAACACAAAUUAAAACGGCAUCAUACCACCUAAUAAACAAAACAAAAGAAUGUUACGUAUUCUGACAAAAUUUUUUAAAUUAUGUUUUAUAAAGAAAAAAUAUUAAAUAUGAUAUAGGCCCUACAUAAUACAGUAUAAUUAACCGCAGCAGGUUCAAAACAAAUACAAGAGAAAAAAAACAAAUAUUAUUUGUGAUAAUUCUUAAUAUUUUAUACCUAAUUCAUAAACGAUCUAUUACAAGCAGUAAAAAGUAGAACUGAGAGAAUAAUGUGAAGCACCCGAAACCGAUAGGCGAAUGAAGAAAGGCUUAUGGAUUUAUCGCGAUUAUAUGGGGCUUGCGGAUACGAACGGGUAGUGAGACGACAGUCCAGAGACUCAGAGAUUACAAUUGAUAUCACUAAGGUUCCAUUUAUCCCAACAAGGAGAGAGAGCUCUGUACAAUACAGUUAAACAAAAUAUGACCAACAAUUAUCAAGAGGAAAUACCUGUUGAUGUAUAAAUUCAAGUCCAAUUGAUCAGUUCAAACGAAUUCAGUU